This 1709-nucleotide ribosomal RNA is filed under the name Escherichia coli. RNAcentral's name for it is "partial 23S ribosomal RNA". It matches the Rfam family "Bacterial large subunit ribosomal RNA", at positions 473 to 2167 of the family's 2925-position model. The record is from RNAcentral. Lineage: Bacteria; Pseudomonadati; Pseudomonadota; Gammaproteobacteria; Enterobacterales; Enterobacteriaceae.
CUCCUGACUGACCGAUAGUGAACCAGUACCGUGAGGGAAAGGCGAAAAGAACCCCGGCGAGGGGAGUGAAAAAGAACCUGAAACCGUGUACGUACAAGCAGUGGGAGCACGCUUAGGCGUGUGACUGCGUACCUUUUGUAUAAUGGGUCAGCGACUUAUAUUCUGUAGCAAGGUUAACCGAAUAGGGGAGCCGAAGGGAAACCGAGUCUUAACUGGGCGUUAAGUUGCAGGGUAUAGACCCGAAACCCGGUGAUCUAGCCAUGGGCAGGUUGAAGGUUGGGUAACACUAACUGGAGGACCGAACCGACUAAUGUUGAAAAAUUAGCGGAUGACUUGUGGCUGGGGGUGAAAGGCCAAUCAAACCGGGAGAUAGCUGGUUCUCCCCGAAAGCUAUUUAGGUAGCGCCUCGUGAAUUCAUCUCCGGGGGUAGAGCACUGUUUCGGCAAGGGGGUCAUCCCGACUUACCAACCCGAUGCAAACUGCGAAUACCGGAGAAUGUUAUCACGGGAGACACACGGCGGGUGCUAACGUCCGUCGUGAAGAGGGAAACAACCCAGACCGCCAGCUAAGGUCCCAAAGUCAUGGUUAAGUGGGAAACGAUGUGGGAAGGCCCAGACAGCCAGGAUGUUGGCUUAGAAGCAGCCAUCAUUUAAAGAAAGCGUAAUAGCUCACUGGUCGAGUCGGCCUGCGCGGAAGAUGUAACGGGGCUAAACCAUGCACCGAAGCUGCGGCAGCGACGCUGAUGCGUUGUUGGGUAGGGGAGCGUUCUGUAAGCCUGUGAAGGUGUGCUGUGAGGCAUGCUGGAGGUAUCAGAAGUGCGAAUGCUGACAUAAGUAACGAUAAAGCGGGUGAAAAGCCCGCUCGCCGGAAGACCAAGGGUUCCUGUCCAACGUUAAUCGGGGCAGGGUGAGUCGACCCCUAAGGCGAGGCCGAAAGGCGUAGUCGAUGGGAAACAGGUUAAUAUUCCUGUACUUGGUGUUACUGCGAAGGGGGGACGGAGAAGGCUAUGUUGGCCGGGCGACGGUUGUCCCGGUUUAAGCGUGUAGGCUGGUUUUCCAGGCAAAUCCGGAAAAUCAAGGCUGAGGCGUGAUGACGAGGCACUACGGUGCUGAAGCAACAAAUGCCCUGCUUCCAGGAAAAGCCUCUAAGCAUCAGGUAACAUCAAAUCGUACCCCAAACCGACACAGGUGGUCAGGUAGAGAAUACCAAGGCGCUUGAGAGAACUCGGGUGAAGGAACUAGGCAAAAUGGUGCCGUAACUUCGGGAGAAGGCACGCUGAUAUGUAGGUGAAGCGACUUGCUCGUGGAGCUGAAAUCAGUCGAAGAUACCAGCUGGCUGCAACUGUUUAUUAAAAACACAGCACUGUGCAAACACGAAAGUGGACGUAUACGGUGUGACGCCUGCCCGGUGCCGGAAGGUUAAUUGAUGGGGUCAGCGCAAGCGAAGCUCUUGAUCGAAGCCCCGGUAAACGGCGGCCGUAACUAUAACGGUCCUAAGGUAGCGAAAUUCCUUGUCGGGUAAGUUCCGACCUGCACGAAUGGCGUAAUGAUGGCCAGGCUGUCUCCACCCGAGACUCAGUGAAAUUGAACUCGCUGUGAAGAUGCAGUGUACCCGCGGCAAGACGGAAAGACCCCGUGAACCUUUACUAUAGCUUGACACUGAACAUUGAGCCUUGAUGUGUAGGAUAGGUGGGAGGCUUUGAAGUGUGG